RNAcentral lists this unclassified non-coding RNA (1327 nucleotides) under Hevea brasiliensis (rubber tree). The record is from RNAcentral. Lineage: Eukaryota; Viridiplantae; Streptophyta; Magnoliopsida; Malpighiales; Euphorbiaceae.
GGAGAAAAUUUGGCAUCACACCUUUUACAAUGAGCUCCGUGUGGCUCCUGAAGAGCAUCCGGUUCUCCUCACUGAAGCUCCUCUCAACCCUAAGGCCAAUCGUGAGAAAAUGACUCAGAUUAUGUUUGAGACCUUUAAUACUCCUGCAAUGUAUGUUGCUAUCCAGGCUGUCCUUUCCCUUUACGCCAGCGGUCGUACCACUGGUGAGUGAUAUCUCCAUUGUCUAUUGGUUGUUUUGUCACUUUGAUGCAUGGGAAAUAUAGCUACAGCAAUGAUUUUUUUUUCUUAUAAAUAUAAAAAAGCGGAGUUGUGAAAACCUCAUGAAACAGAUGAUAUUUGAAAGUGGGGAUCAUAUUCUUUUGAUGUUGAAUUAAGAUAUCCAAAUAGUUUACCUCAUAUUGAGCAGUUAAGAAACCCAUAUUUUCUAGUUGAUUGAAACUUGCUCAAAACUCAGAGAAAGAAAGUUCAUAUAUAUCACUAUGAAAGGGAAUAUUUUGGGAAAUUUGUAAACCAUCUGCAUUUCUAUCAUCAUAGUUGCCACACAAUCUAUUUUCAAAAAUUGGUGGCAUUAAUCACAUGACUAACAAACAAAUGAGUUAAAUGGGUUUCCAGUAAUUGAAAUUUUAUAUGAUAUAUAUUGGGAUGACUUUAGUCUCAGGAAAGCCAAACAAGUGCCUUUCACAAGAUUCAUUUGUUAUGUCCUACUAUUACCAUGGCUUUUUUAUGAUUGCGAUGAACUGUGAGAGUUAAUAUUUAAUGAUUUAUGUGGUAAUUUUUAGGUAUUGUUCUGGACUCUGGAGAUGGUGUGAGCCACACAGUUCCCAUCUAUGAAGGCUAUGCCCUCCCACAUGCCAUUCUGCGUCUGGAUCUGGCAGGUCGUGAUCUUACUGAUGCACUUAUGAAAAUCUUGACUGAGCGUGGUUACUCUUUCACCACCACUGCUGAGCGAGAAAUUGUUAGAGACAUGAAGGAGAAACUAGCCUACAUUGCUCUUGACUAUGAACAAGAGCUAGAGACGUCAAAGACCAGCUCAUCUGUUGAGAAGAGCUAUGAGCUGCCAGAUGGGCAGGUUAUCACAAUUGGAGCAGAGCGAUUCCGCUGUCCAGAAGUCCUUUUCCAACCAUCCAUGAUUGGGAUGGAAGCUGCUGGCAUCCAUGAGACCACUUACAACUCUAUCAUGAAAUGUGAUGUCGAUAUUAGGAAGGAUCUGUAUGGUAAUAUUGUUCUCAGUGGUGGCUCAACUAUGUUCCCUGGCAUUGCUGACAGGAUGAGCAAGGAGAUUACUGCAUUAGCUCCCAGCAGCAUGAAGAUUAAGGUGGUGGCACCA